Molecule: ribosomal RNA, 377 nt
Filed under: uncultured bacterium
Lineage: Bacteria
Description: bacterial SSU rRNA
Rfam family: Bacterial small subunit ribosomal RNA
Source: RNAcentral
AUACGUAGGUGGCAAGCGUUGUCCGGAUUUAUUGGGCGUAAAGCGAGCGCAGGCGGAAGAAUAAGUCUGAUGUGAAAGCCCUCGGCUUAACCGAGGAAUUGCAUCGGAAACUGUUUUUCUUGAGUGCAGAAGAGGAGAGUGGAACUCCAUGUGUAGCGGUGGAAUGCGUAGAUAUAUGGAAGAACACCAGUGGCGAAGGCGGCUCUCUGGUCUGCAACUGACGCUGAGGCUCGAAAGCAUGGGUAGCGAACAGGAUUAGAUACCCUGGUAGUCCAUGCCGUAAACGAUGAGUGCUAAGUGUUGGGAGGUUUCCGCCUCUCAGUGCUGCAGCUAACGCAUUAAGCACUCCGCCUGGGGAGUACGACCGCAAGGUUGAA